This 316-nucleotide unclassified non-coding RNA is filed under the name plant metagenome. RNAcentral describes it as "partial contains 5.8S ribosomal RNA, internal transcribed spacer 2, and large subunit ribosomal RNA". The stretch from base 1 to 105 matches the Rfam family "5.8S ribosomal RNA", at positions 50 to 154 of the family's 154-position model. The record is from RNAcentral.
GAAAUGCGAUAACUAGUGUGAAUUGCAGAAUUCCGUGAAUCAUCGAGUCUUUGAACGCACAUUGCGCCCCCUGGUAUUCCGGGGGGCAUGCCUGUCCGAGCGUCAUUGCUGCCCAUCAAGCACGGCUUGUGUGUUGGGUCGUCGUCCCCUCUCCGGGGGGGACGGGCCCCAAAGGCAGCGGCGGCACCGCGUCCGAUCCUCGAGCGUAUGGGGCUUUGUCACCCGCUCUGUAGGUCCGGCCGGCGCUUGCCGAACGCAAAUCAAUCUUUUUCCAGGUUGACCUCGGAUCAGGUAGGGAUACCCGCUGAACUUAAGC